This 467-nucleotide ribosomal RNA is filed under the name uncultured bacterium. RNAcentral describes it as "partial 16S ribosomal RNA". It matches the Rfam family "Bacterial small subunit ribosomal RNA", at positions 28 to 507 of the family's 1533-position model. The record is from RNAcentral.
GAUGAACGCUGGCGGCGUGCUUAACACAUGCCAGUCGAACGGAAAGGCUCCUGCUUGCCGGGGUACUCGAGUGGCGAACGGGUGAGUAACACGUGGGUGAUCUGCCCUGCACUUCGGGAUAAGCCUGGGAAACUGGGUCUAGUACCGGAUAGGACCACAUUUUGGAUGGUGUGGUGGAAAGUUUUUCGGUGUGGGAUGAGCUCGCGGCCUAUCAGCUUGUUGGUGGGGUAAUGGCCUACCAAGGCGUCGACGGGUAGCCGGCCUGAGAGGGUGUACGGCCACAUUGGGACUGAGAUACGGCCCAGACUCCUACGGGAGGCAGCAGUGGGGAAUAUUGCACAAUGGGCGCAAGCCUGAUGCAGCGACGCCGCGUGGGGGAUGACGGCCUUCGGGUUGUAAACUCCUUUCGCUAGGGACGAAGCGUUUUUGUGACGGUACCUGGAGAAGAAGCACCGGCUAACUACGUG